Molecule: long non-coding RNA, 995 nt
Filed under: Olea europaea (common olive)
Lineage: Eukaryota; Viridiplantae; Streptophyta; Magnoliopsida; Lamiales; Oleaceae
Description: long non-coding RNA (OEUR_LNC012350)
Source: RNAcentral
ACUUUUAAUUUCUGUACCUAAAUAUGGACCAUUCACAAUUUGAUGCACUCACCCAACAAAUAGCGGCUAUCCAAACCCAAAUAACUGCUACUCUUAAAGAGAGUAAGGCCCUCUCUGGUAAUUUGAACAAUUUUAAGCAAAUCCCUCAUUCGAUUGACGUUGAUAAUUCUGAAGUAUCCCAUCAAUAGACAUUAUCAUCAUCGACGAGGAGAUCGAAAAUAUUUUGGAUACGAUCGUAAUGAUAGGAAAAAAUUUGUCGGCGAGAACAAGCCUAUAACCGUCACGGUGCUCAUUCUCUUCCUCAUUAUAAGGAGAGUUUCUUUAGGGACACUAAAUUACACACUUCUACUUUUGAUAGUUGCUUAGAUUUUGAAGUUUUUACUCAAUGGACUGCUCUUAAACAAGGGAAUCUGUUAGUGACUGACUAUAUUGCACAAUGAGGAAUUUCGAACCAAAUGUCAUGUCAUUGAAGAUGAGACCACGACUUUGAGUAGGUUUAGUAAGGUCUAAGAGAUGAUCUUAGACGUGAGCUUUUCUUUCGAGGUGUCACUACUCUUGAUCACGCUUAUUCUUUAGUCAGAGAGUAUGAGUUGACUAUUAGGACUCUAUAUGAAAAGCGUGAUCACGAUCGCUCACCCAUGUCAUUAGCGUUACCUCGUCAUAAGUCAAUCAUAGAGCAUUUCUCGUCUGAUGUUCCUCCCAUUUGGGAAAAUAAAUAUAAAGGUCAUGAUAUCCCAAGACCUUCUUCUUCGUAUCGAAGGGGUAGUGACAUUCUCCCUUUCGUCUCAUCAACACCACCUUCUCCUGUUAAGUCCUUUCUAGGUCCUCCCCCAUCUAAUGCUCCUCUGUUGGACAAUAAAGGUCAAGAUUUUAAAACUUCAAUAACUUCUUCUCAUUUGCAGUACCUUUGGCCACAUUUCUUCUGAAUGUUCUAAUCGAGCUUUAUUCAUUGAAGAAUAAAAGAAUAUGAGAGAUGAGCGAUUAGAAAAUCAAAU